UACAGAGGUCUCAAGCGUUGUUCGGAUUCAUUGGGCGUAAAGGGUGCGUAGGCGGCGGUGCAAGUCCGAUGUGAAAUACCGGGGCUCAACCCCGGAACUGCAUUGGAUACUGCAUUGCUAGAGUACUGGAGAGGGAACUGGAAUUUACGGUGUAGCAGUGAAAUGCGUAGAGAUCGUAAGGAAGACCAGUGGCGAAGGCGAGUUCCUGGACAGUUACUGACGCUGAGGCGCGAAAGCUAGGGGAGCAAACGGG
Molecule: ribosomal RNA, 253 nt
Filed under: uncultured bacterium
Lineage: Bacteria
Description: partial 16S ribosomal RNA
Rfam family: Bacterial small subunit ribosomal RNA
Source: RNAcentral